Small nucleolar RNA from Macadamia integrifolia, 86 nucleotides. NCBI's taxonomy places the organism in Eukaryota, Viridiplantae, Streptophyta, Magnoliopsida, Proteales, Proteaceae. The record is from RefSeq and is a predicted model, not a curated record.
UGCAAUCAAUGAUGAAGAUCUCUGUAAUAUCUACUGAGGUAUCUGUGAUUAUAUCAAAUUAUCACCAUCUUUCGGCUGAGAUUGCA